GACGAACGCUUGCGGCGUGCCUAAGAAAUGCAAGUCGAGCGGGGAUGCUUUGCAUUGGGUUGAUGAGGCGGGUUGAUGGUUGAUAGUUGAUGGUUGAUGGUUAAAUGCCUCACGGUGUUUUCCAACAACCAUACACCAUACACCAUCAAACCAAAAAACCAUCAACCGAAUGCAGAGCAUUCUAGCGGCGAACGGUCGCGUAACACGUAAGCAACCUGCCNCAAAGACCGGGACAACAUCUCGAAAGGGGUGCUAAUACCGGAUGUGGCCACCUGAUGGCAUCUUCGGGUGAUUAAACCGAGCAAUCGG
This 309-nucleotide ribosomal RNA is filed under the name uncultured bacterium. Its description in RNAcentral is "partial 16S ribosomal RNA". It matches the Rfam family "Bacterial small subunit ribosomal RNA", at positions 28 to 216 of the family's 1533-position model. The record is from RNAcentral.